This 433-nucleotide ribosomal RNA is filed under the name uncultured Naviculales. RNAcentral's name for it is "bacterial SSU rRNA". It matches the Rfam family "Bacterial small subunit ribosomal RNA", at positions 954 to 1396 of the family's 1533-position model. Lineage: Eukaryota; Bacillariophyta; Bacillariophyceae; Naviculales. The record is from RNAcentral.
AUGCAACGCGAAGAACCUUACCAGGGUUUGACAUGAUACGGAUCUUUUUGAAAAAAAAGAGGCCUUUAGGAAACGUAUGCACAGGUGGUGCAUGGCUGUCGUCAGCUCGUGUCGUGAGAUGUUGGGUUAAGUCCCGCAACGAGCGCAACCCUCAUUUUUAGUUGCUUUAUAGAACUCUAAAAAGACUGCCGGUUAUAAACCGGAGGAAGGCGGGGAUGACGUCAAGUCAGCAUGCCCCUUACACCCUGGGCUACACACGUGCUACAAUGGACGAGACAAUGAGAUGCAACUCUGCCAAGACUAGCUAAUCUAUAAACUCGUUCUAAGUUCGGAUUGCAGGCUGCAACUCGCCUGCAUGAAGUUGGAAUCGCUAGUAAUCGCUGGUCAGCUACACAGCGGUGAAUUCGUUCCCGGGCCUUGUUCACACCGCCCG